UUCUUCAUCUGCAGUCCCACCAACUACCAAUCCUUUAUUUCUGUGAAUUGAGUUGAAUCGUGCUCCGACAGAGUACUGAUCCCGACUGUCCGUGUCAUUUCCCCGUUUGGAUGGCCCGUUUGGAUGGCGCAUUGCCCAAAAACUACGACGAUCGGUUAAAUCCUAGCUUACUGGCCGGUGGCCAUCAAAUGGACGUUCGAAAACAGUUUUAAGUUGCUGUCCAAGUCUGGAGAGAAUAAUUGGAUGGUUAGGAUUGUCGAAUUGCUAUGAUUUUUUGGUCAUGCUCCAUCUGAUGCAACCAAAUGGCCACAUGAGCCGAUUGAUAAAGAUAUAAAAAAUCUAACCGUCCAAAUUGUCUUGAUUGAUGAUCUAGACAAGAUCCGUGGUUGGAUGAUCAAUUGAAUGAGAUCAAUGGUUAGAUUACAUAGUUGGAUUCUUUAUAUCUUGAUCAAUCGGCUCCUGUAGCCAUUUGGUUGCAUCACUAUCCAUGAUGAGGCCAUGAUUUGGGCCAUCAUGAUUGAUGUGUAUUUACACACCAUGUGUAUGGUGGAUGGGACAAUGCAUACGAUCCAUCAUAUUCAUAUGUUAUAUAGUUCUUGAUGGAAUAUGCAAAUUUAUAGGUAGUUUUACUAGAUGAAUGGUGUUGUUUUGGGUGGGUGCUGAGCAGUAAUUCAAUGGGUGUUUGCAGGUCUUUUUAAGAACUUUUUGUGGGUAAUUAAAUAGGUUGUUUUCUGAUUUUAGAGAAGGUUUUGGUAGGUUGGACAGAAAUUUACUCAUAGAUCAUUUUGACUAUAAUUUGUUUGGGUGUGUCUAGAUGCUCAACUGAAUUGGAUUGCGAUCCAAUUCAAUAUAGAACUAUGACCAAAGUGGGGAUGGUGUCACUUUUAUUCAUAAUGGUAGCCAAACCCCUUACUCUUUUUACUUGUGUUCUAAUCUAGACCUGAAAUAAUUGUAAUAUCAAUGUGGAGGCUAUUUCCUCACUAUGAAUGGACCAAUGGAGUGGGUUAGCCUAACUUCAAUUGUAUCAACUUUUUUGGGUUUGAUUGCUACAAUCGAUUCAAUUUAGCAUCCAAACAUGCCCUUAUCAUGGUAUUGAAAAAUGGUUACGUUAUGGCUGUAACAGCGGUUACAGUUAUGUAAAGGUAACGGUGGUGACCAUCAUGCAAUAUGGGGUUGUAAUGCCCAAUUUGAAAAUUUGCCCCUUAGCGGGCCUAUAACAGUCGUAAUAACUGUAAGAGCUGUUAAGGCCCGUAUCGUAACAGCCACAAGUCUAUCUGUUAUGGCCACCGUUACCGUUAUUGAAUACCUUAACCCUAUAUAUGUUGUUGAGACUCGGAAGAAAAAUAAAAAUUCCCUUCCUCUUUUUUGAAAGAUAAUGAUUUUCAUUAAAGAAGGAUAAAAAUACAUCAAGAUAAAGUAAAUGAGUUUCCAAUAUGAAAGGAGGGCCAUUGAGCUCCCCCUUUGGCUAAAGAAUCUGCCAUGGCAGCCAUGAGCAAGUAAAAUGUUUAGGCUAAUGCGAGAUAACAAAUUUCAUCAAACAUGAAGGAGAGCUUCCACCACGGUUCAUCAUGGGCUUUCUGAGUAUAUGAGUCUCCUUUGGACUUUUUGUAGUGUCUCCUUCUAGUUUCCAAUGUGCUCCUAGGAUAGACAAUUAAGAAGAAAGAUACAACAAGUUCAACCAUAAAAAGUCUUGAUAUUAGUUGAUAUAUGUUCCAAUUUGGGGGAUUUUCAAAGCAUGCUUCCAACUUAGUGGCUAUAUCUUCCAAUUGAUUUUCUCACGUGUUUCGGGAUCAUAUCAUCAUCAUCUAAGCCGUAUCCCAACUAAUAGGGUGACUCAAAAGAGAAGAAAAUUUUUCAUCUUUUGGAGCGUGGCGAGGUGUGCAAACCUUAUGAAGAAAGGCGUUGCUAACAUACGUGACUUGGGGCUAAUGAAUUUGUUUUUUAUAUAGCAAGUGGUGGCGGCAGAUUCGGGUGGAGAAGGAUGCUCUUUGGAGAGAGGUUAUUGUUAGCGAGUAUGGAUGCUCUAAAGGGGGUUGGUGGAUGAGAGAGUCCUCUCUUUAUAGGGUGCCGACGAUGUGGAAAGGUAUAACAAGUGUAAAAGCUAAUUUCAAGGAACGAACCAGCCUUUCUUUGGGGAAUGGAGAGAAUAUCAAAUUUUGGAAAGAUGUGUGGAGGGGCGACAGACCCUUUUAAAUCAGAUUUUCGAAGAUCGUGCGCGUUGCCCUAAACUGGAGCAUCACAGUCGAUCACUGCUAUAUUUAUAGUGAUGAGUCGUUGGUGUAGGCCCCCACCAUGCUGCUGCUACCUUCGGGAUGAUGAGGUGGACGAGUUUGUGGCCCUUGUGGAUUGCUUGCAUCGUUGUAGGCCAAUGGAUAAUGAAAAGCGAUGGGAUGGUGUGGUCUAAAGAGAAGUUAGUGUGCUUCUCGGUUAAACCUUUCCAUUUCUUGCUUCAUAAUGGAGGGGGAGUGUGUGGCAAUAUGAGUCACAUGUGGCAUUAUGGAAAUCCCCCAAAGAUCGGAGCUUUUAGGUGGUUGAUUGGAAGGUAGAGUUUUGACAAUAGAUAACCUUCAGAAGUUCUCUAUGGUUAUUCUGAAUGUUUGUCUCAUGUGCAUGUCCAACACCCAGUCAGUUUACCAUUUAUUCAUCCAUUGCCCCUUUGCAAGUCACGUUUGGGCUUUUAUUCUAUCUAAGAUUCAACAUCUAUUGGUCUGUGCCCCUUUUGAAAUUGGAGAUCUCUUUAUAGCUUGGCAUGGGAUGUCUUUUCACAAGAGCAUUAGAGCUGUUUGGAGGCUUUAUCUUCUUGCCGGGUUGUGGUCAGUUUGGGGAGAAAGGAAUAGGAGAUGCCUCCGCAAUGAAAGUAGGUGUGUUGAGUGGAUCGUGCAGAUUGUUGUCAUAUGCGAUCGCAUAUGCGGUUUGGGCCAUGUGUAGCGCAUAUGCCAUGAUGGCAUAUGCGAUUUGGGGAGUAUGCGAUGGUUUAUGUGAUUAUGCCAUUGCAUACAGAGUAUGCGAUGGCAUACUUUCUCCCUCACUCUAAAUUCUCCGUCUCUCUUCGUGUAACUUGUUAAUUGUUUAAA
This is a long non-coding RNA of Magnolia sinica, 3074 nucleotides long. RefSeq lists it as uncharacterized. Lineage: Eukaryota; Viridiplantae; Streptophyta; Magnoliopsida; Magnoliales; Magnoliaceae. The record is from RefSeq and is a predicted model, not a curated record. The transcript is spliced from 2 exons.